CAGUCCAGGGCAGGCCCCGCCCUCUGUUUCCGCUGGCGGAGGCUUUGGAGGUGGCGGCGCGAGAGCGCAAGCGAUCCGGACCCCACAUUCCUGGGAGCGCGGAAUAUUGUGGGAUCUUCUCUGAUCUGCCAGCAGCCAAGGUGUUCACUGGAAAUUCAAGGAAAACAGAAUUUAAGAAGUGCAACAUGGCCAGGGGCUGCCUCUGCUGCUUGAAGUACGUGAUGUUCCUCUUCAAUUUGAUAUUCUGGGUAAGUCCUUGCGUGUGUGUCUCUCCUUUGCCUCCUCUCUUCUUUCCUUAAGUGCGAUACCCUCUUUCUU
Molecule: long non-coding RNA, 318 nt
Filed under: Catagonus wagneri (Chacoan peccary)
Lineage: Eukaryota; Metazoa; Chordata; Mammalia; Artiodactyla; Tayassuidae
Description: lncRNA (ENSCWAG00000013524.1)
Source: RNAcentral